GCCCGGAUGGUGGAAUUGGUAGACACAGGAGACUUAAAAUCUCCCGGCCUUACGGCUGUGCGGGUUCAAGUCCCGCUCCGGGCACCA
RNAcentral lists this transfer RNA (87 nucleotides) under Parahalioglobus pacificus. RNAcentral describes it as "Halioglobus pacificus tRNA-Leu". It matches the Rfam family "tRNA". Rfam says of the family: Transfer RNA (tRNA) molecules are approximately 80 nucleotides in length. Their secondary structure includes four short double-helical elements and three loops (D, anti-codon, and T loops). Further hydrogen bonds mediate the characteristic L-shaped molecular structure. tRNAs have two regions of fundamental functional importance: the anti-codon, which is responsible for specific mRNA codon recognition, and the 3' end, to which the tRNAs corresponding amino acid is attached (by aminoacyl-tRNA synthetases). tRNAs cope with the degeneracy of the genetic code in two manners: having more than one tRNA (with a specific anti-codon) for a particular amino acid; and 'wobble' base-pairing, i.e. permitting non-standard base-pairing at the 3rd anti-codon position. The record is from RNAcentral. Lineage: Bacteria; Pseudomonadati; Pseudomonadota; Gammaproteobacteria; Cellvibrionales; Halieaceae. RNAcentral also lists the same sequence under 2 other names.